GAUGAAGAACGUAGCGAAAUGCGAUACUUGGUGUGAAUUGCAGAAUCCCGUGAACCAUCGAGUCUUUGAACGCAAGUUGCGCCCGAAGCCAUCAGGUUGAGGGCACGUCUGCCUGGGCGUCACAUAUCGUUGCCCAAUGCCUAUUGCAGUGCAAUAGGAAUUUCUAGGGCGAAUGAUGGCUUCCCGUGAGCGUUGUUGCCUCGCGGUUGGUUGAAAAUCGAGUCCUUGGUAGGGUGUGCCAUGGUAGAUGGUGGUCGAGUUAGAACGAUACCGAUCAUGUGCAUCCUCCCCAAAAUAUGGCCUCUAUGACCCACACGCGUCUUUUGACGCUCAUGACGAGACCUCAGGUCAGGCGGGGCUACCCGCUGAAUUUAAGCAUAUCAAUAAGCGGAGGA
Molecule: unclassified non-coding RNA, 395 nt
Filed under: soil metagenome
Description: partial contains 5.8S ribosomal RNA, internal transcribed spacer 2, and large subunit ribosomal RNA
Rfam family: 5.8S ribosomal RNA (bases 1-122)
Source: RNAcentral